This 220-nucleotide ribosomal RNA is filed under the name uncultured bacterium. Its description in RNAcentral is "partial 16S ribosomal RNA". It matches the Rfam family "Bacterial small subunit ribosomal RNA", at positions 114 to 334 of the family's 1533-position model. The record is from RNAcentral.
CGCGUGGAUAACCUGCCUCACACAGGGGGAUAACAGUUGGAAACGGCUGCUAAUACCGCAUAAGCGCACAGCACCGCAUGGUGCAGUGUGAAAAACUCCGGUGGUGUGAGAUGGAUCCGCGUCUGAUUAGCUUGUUGGCGGGGUAACGGCCCACCAAGGCGACGAUCAGUAGCCGGCCUGAGAGGGCGACCGGCCACAUUGGGACUGAGACACGGCCCAG